AAUUCUCAGGGCGAGGUGAAAGUCCUCACCGGUGGUAAAUUAAGUCCACGAGCAUUUUAUGUUGAUUUGGUGAAAUUCCAAAACCGACGGUUAGAGUCCGGAUGAGAGAGAAUA
This 114-nucleotide non-coding RNA is filed under the name uncultured Methanosphaera sp. RNAcentral's name for it is "FMN riboswitch (RFN element)". It matches the Rfam family "FMN riboswitch aptamer (RFN element)". From Rfam's summary of the family: The RFN element is a highly conserved domain that is found frequently in the 5'-untranslated regions of prokaryotic mRNAs that encode for flavin mononucleotide (FMN) biosynthesis and transport proteins. This element is a metabolite-dependent riboswitch that directly binds FMN in the absence of proteins. In Bacillus subtilis, the riboswitch most likely controls gene expression by causing premature transcription termination within the 5' untranslated region of the ribDEAHT operon and precluding access to the ribosome-binding site of ypaA mRNA. Lineage: Archaea; Methanobacteriati; Methanobacteriota; Methanobacteria; Methanobacteriales; Methanobacteriaceae. The record is from RNAcentral.